CGAGCGACCUCGGAGAGAGCUACAGUGUGGGACCAGUUAAAAUCAAGCUCUUUUCAGUGAGUGAUAAAACUUGUAUACUACUUCCUCACAGGGGAUUAAGCUUUCAAAAUAUGACCUCUAAUCUUGAGAACUUGCCUUGUUUGCAGAUUGAAUGAGGACAUGAUGGAGACCCUUUUUGGCUGCAAUUCCACAAACUCAGUGCCCAGAGAACCUAUUAGAAGAUCAGUUUUGCCUCCUGUUGAACGGGAAAACAGAGUGUUGAAUCCAAAGAAGUCACAAAAUAUUGCCAUACUGUUGAGAGCACUGAGUGUAACUCGAGAUGAGGUGUCAGAAGCUCUUUUAGAUGGUAAGUCAUAUUUACAUUUUCUAUCAGUAAAUAAUAAGAUUCUUAUAUCUUAGAUAUCUUAGAUAUGAUGGAAAUUUUUUUGCAUCUUCUUUCUCUGUGGUUAAGGGGCUUUGAGGAUUUAAGAGCAUAAAAUUUGCUGGUUUUCACUUCCAUCUAAAUAUGCCAAAGAUAUUUGUACUCUUUUGAAAUUCAAUAUUUAAUCUUGAAAUUCAAAAUUUAAUCCAAAAUGUUGAAUCCCUAUGUAUACAUUUUUUAAUUUAAAAAUCUUGGUAGGAUGUGUGGAAUUCUGUUUAUUCACUUUUGAUAUUAUAAAAAUGGUAAAAUGACUCUUUUAAUCCUUAUGAUUUACAGUUUUUUUUGUCAAUUUGGUCCAACUCAUAAACAAUUAGAAAAGAAAUGGUUUUAACAAUUGAAUGUUUUUCCGUAUUUUCAAUAAAAAUAAUUAAAAAUUGUGAAAAAUUAAAAACUCUUUAAAAGUAAAAUAAAAUAAAAUAAUUUUAAAAAAGAGUAAUUUAUUUUUAAAUUACUCUUUUAAAAAAAAAUUUUCACAAUUUAUUAUUAUUUUUAUAUUUUUAUUGAAAAUAUGAAGAAAAAAAUAGUUUGUAAAACAUUUUUUUAAAUGUUUAUGUACUUUUAAAGAGUUUGGACCAAAUUGAUAAAAAAAACUGUAAAUCAUGAGGGCUAAAAGAGUUAUUCUACUUUUUUAAAACAGCCCAUCAUCAAUUGUAAUGGCAAGACCAAGAUUUUUAAAUAAAAAGAAGUACGGGACUCAAUGUCUCAAAAAUUGAAGUAUAGGGACUUAUAUUUAAAUUCCAUAAGAAACAUAGCAAUUGGCAACUUGCUGCUUGGUGUCUUUCUAAAAGCCAAUAUUGAGAUUGAAGUAAAUGAUAGUAAACCACGUUUUAGGUACCUGGUAUAAUUUGUUGAGCUCAAACACAUUGUCCUUCACCAUCACUUAAAACAUAUUCCUAGUUCCUCGAAUUUCGAACUCUGGGUUGCAUCUCCAAG
This 1354-nucleotide long non-coding RNA is filed under the name Gossypium raimondii (Peruvian cotton). Its description in RNAcentral is "long non-coding RNA (GRAI_LNC006275)". Lineage: Eukaryota; Viridiplantae; Streptophyta; Magnoliopsida; Malvales; Malvaceae. The record is from RNAcentral.